RNAcentral lists this ribosomal RNA (468 nucleotides) under uncultured bacterium. RNAcentral describes it as "partial 16S ribosomal RNA". It matches the Rfam family "Bacterial small subunit ribosomal RNA", at positions 28 to 507 of the family's 1533-position model. The record is from RNAcentral.
GACGAACGCUGGCGGCGUGCUUAACACAUGCAAGUCGAACGGAAAGACCCUGCUUUUGUGGGUUGCUCGUUUGGCGAACGGGUGAGUAACACGUGAGUAACCUGCCCUUGACUUUGUGAGAACACCAGGGAACUGGGGCUAAUACAGCAUAGAAUCUCCUGCUGCAUAGUGGGGGUUGGAAAGUUUCGGCGGUUGGGGAUGGACUCGCGGCUUAUCCGCUUGUUUGUGGGGUAGUGACUUACCAAGGCUUUGAGGGGUAGCCGGCCUGAGAGGGUGGACGGGUACCUUGGGACUGCGAUAGGCACCAGAAGGCUACGUGAGGCAGCAGUGGGGAGUAUUGCAGAACGGGCGGGAGCGUGAUGUGACAACGUCGGGUGCGGGAUGACGGGCUUUGGGUUGAAAACCAAUUUGGCCUGAGCUGUAGAGUGAGUGACGGUAAUGGGUAAAGAAGCACCGGCUAACUACGUG